GUGCCAAGCGACGAUACAAAAACCAGAAGUUUGGUUUUGGUGGAAAGAAGAAAGGCUCCAAGUGGAACACUCGUGAGAGCCAUGAUGAUGUAUCCAGCUUCCGGGCCAAGACAGCCCAUGCCAAGGGCCCCAAGAGGCCUGGAAAGAAAGGAGCAAAUAAGAGACCUGGAAAACGAACGAGAGAGAAGAUGAAGAGCAGAACCCGCUGAACAGCCUCUUUAUACAAAGAACAAAGCAAAAGGCAUGAAGCCUUGGAAUUUCAAAGUACAUUGGUUUCUUUUUGUU
Molecule: non-coding RNA, 285 nt
Organism: Urocitellus parryii (Arctic ground squirrel)
Lineage: Eukaryota; Metazoa; Chordata; Mammalia; Rodentia; Sciuridae
Source: RefSeq, a predicted model, not a curated record